AAAAUAGUUUAUUCUUAGUACAUUCAAAAAUAUCCAUCAUUAGAUAAGUAAGUUCCAACAUUCAUAGAUAAGUACAGUUCCAUACUUUCAACAAUAUUCCAACACUUUGCACAUCAUUGUUUAUUAGAUAAUAUUUUGACACUUCCAUUGAUGUAUGAUGAACAUAACUUAAUAUAUGACAAACACUUACGUAACUUUGACAGACGAUUACAUAUCUUAACAAAACAAUAAU
Molecule: long non-coding RNA, 232 nt
Filed under: Lathyrus oleraceus (garden pea)
Lineage: Eukaryota; Viridiplantae; Streptophyta; Magnoliopsida; Fabales; Fabaceae
Description: Pisum sativum (pea) long non-coding RNA (PSAT_LNC026762)
Source: RNAcentral